This 1188-nucleotide ribosomal RNA is filed under the name uncultured fungus. RNAcentral describes it as "eukaryotic LSU rRNA". The stretch from base 560 to 1188 matches the Rfam family "Eukaryotic large subunit ribosomal RNA", at positions 1 to 649 of the family's 3401-position model. The record is from RNAcentral. Lineage: Eukaryota; Fungi.
AAGUCGUAACAAGGUUUCCGUAGGUGAACCUGCGGAAGGAUCAUUAUUGAGACAGGGUCUUUUGGGCCCGACCUCCAACCCUUUGUCUACCAGACCUCUUGUUGCUUCGGCGGACCCGUCUCCCCCUAGGAAUAGGGGGCGACCGCCGGAGGGGUUAACCCUCUGGCCCGUGUCCGUCGAUGGCCAUUUAUAAAUUCUUGAUCAAUCAUGUCCUCUGAAUUAAACAAAAAAUAACCAAAAACUUUCAACAACGGAUCUCUUGGUUCUGGCAUCGAUGAAGAACGCAGCGAAAUGCGAUAAGUAAUGCGAAUUGCAGAAUCCGUGAGUCAUCGAAUCUUUGAACGCACAUUGCGCCCUUUGGUAUUCCGAAGGGCAUGCCUGUUCGAGUGUCAUUAUCACCCCUCAAGCCCCCGGCUUGGUGUUGGAUUUGGUCUCGUCGACCAGUCUCAAAGAUAAUGACGCCGCCCCGGAGGGACGCGGUACGAGGAGCUUGCUUGUUAAGCAUGUAUCGACGAAGACUCUGUGGACGGUGGUCUUUAACCUAAAUUUUUUUAAGUGUUGACCUCGGAUCAGGUAGGAAUACCCGCUGAACUUAAGCAUAUCAAUAAGCGGAGGAAAAGAAACCAACAGGGAUUGCCUCAGUAACGGCGAGUGAAGCGGCAAAAGCUCAAAUUUGAAAUCUGACUUCUUGGAGUCCGAGUUGUAAUUUGUAGAGGAUGUUUCGGGUACCGCACGGCUUAAAUUUCUUGGAACAGAAUGUCAGAGAGGGUGAGAGUCCCGUCUGGAGUCGCGGUAGGGCCCAUGUGAAACUCCUUCGACGAGUCGAGUUGUUUGGGAAUGCAGCUCAAAAUGGGUGGUAAAUUUCAUCUAAAGCUAAAUAUUGGCCAGAGACCGAUAGCGCACAAGUAGAGUGAUCGAAAGAUGAAAAGCACUUUGAAAAGAGAGUUAAACAGUAUGUGAAAUUGUUGAAAGGGAAGCGCUGGCAAUCAGACUUGUGUGCGGUGGUUCCCCCUCGCUUCUGCGUGGGUUACGCCCCGUAUCCAGGCCAACAUCGGUUUGGGCGGUCGGUUAAAGGCUUUGGGAAUGUAUCUUCCUCCGGGAAGACUUAUAGCCCAUUGUGUCAUGCGACCUGCCCGGACCGAGGAACGCGCUUCGGCUCGGAUGUUGGCGUAAUGGUUGUCAGCGACC